Molecule: non-coding RNA, 94 nt
Organism: Mycena polygramma
Lineage: Eukaryota; Fungi; Basidiomycota; Agaricomycetes; Agaricales; Mycenaceae
Source: the annotation of a GenBank genome assembly
GCCAUCGUGGACCAUGGCGGUCGCCUCCUGCAAGUGGGGGAUGAACCACUUUCGCUACAUGGAGGAAGUGAGGGUUCGAUUCCCUCCGAUGGCA